UACGAAGGGGGCUAGCGUUGCUCGGAAUCACUGGGCGUAAAGCGCACGUAGGCGGACUCUUAAGUCGGUGGUGAAAUCCUGGAGCUCAACUCCAGAACUGCCUUCGAUACUGGGAGUCUUGAGUCCGGGAGAGGUGAGUGGAACUGCGAGUGUAGAGGUGAAAUUCGUAGAUAUUCGCAAGAACACCAGUGGCGAAGGCGGCUCACUGGCCCGGUACUGACGCUGAGGUGCGAAAGUGUGGGGAGCAAACAGG
Molecule: ribosomal RNA, 253 nt
Filed under: uncultured bacterium
Lineage: Bacteria
Description: partial 16S ribosomal RNA
Rfam family: Bacterial small subunit ribosomal RNA
Source: RNAcentral